AUGGAGAGCCAUGAAGAGAAGCUACACAAGCUGAUCAUGCAAAGCAAGAUAAAUGACACUAACGAUCUCAUGAGGAGAAAAGUUACUGAGAUUGAGAAAAACAAGAUUGAUAGAGGCAAGACUGGGGAAGGAUUUGCUCCGACAAGAACUCCGAAUAACUUUAAUGACAUGAACUUUAGAGGUGGUCCAGGGUCAGAGAUUGGUCCUAUAUUUACUGACAAGACAAAAGGGCGAUCAUCUGCUCCUUCUCCUGCUCCUAGUAAAAUGCCUGGUGGAAUGAAAUUAAGUAAAGCACACAAGCCAAAUCAGUUCCUGGAGUCUUUGAAAGCUGAAGGAGAAGUUAUUCUGGAGGAUACUCAACUAAGGUCAAAGUCAUCAUCAUCUAUUCCACCAAGUGAUCCUAUCACAGUGACUAUUGAAGAGAAGUUGAAUGUCACAGUUAAAAGGGAUGGCGGAGUUACUAAUUUUGAUGUUCAAGGAACCCUUGCUCUCCAAGUUCUUAAUGACACUGAUGGUUAUAUCCAGUUGCAGAUUGAGAACCAAGAUGCACCUGGACUUAGCUUCAGGACGCACCCUAAUAUUGACAAACAGCUGUUCAACGGCCAGAAAAUUGUUGGGGCAAGAGAUCCAUCCAGGCCUUUCCCCAGUGGUCAAAAUGAAACACCCCUGGUGAAAUGGAGAAUCGAGGGGUUGAAUGAGUCUUCUCUGCCAUUGACAGUCAGUUGCUGGCCUUCAACAUCUGGAAAUACAACUGUUGUGAACAUUGAAUAUGAAGCUUCAGACAUGUUUGAUUUGCACAAUGUUAUCGUCUCUAUCCCUCUGCCCGCACUUAGGGAUGCUCCAAGUGUAAAACAGAUAGAUGGAGAAUGGAGGUAUGACUCAAGAAACUCUGUGUUGGAAUGGUCUGUGAUGCUUAUUGAUCAAUCCAACCGAAGUGGUUCCAUGGAGUUCUCUGUUCCCGCUGCUGAUCCAUCGACAUUUUUUCCCAUCUCCGUUGGAUUUUCUGCAUCAAAUACAUUUAGUAACGUGAAGGUUACUGCCAUCCUUCCAUUGCAGGGAGGUAGUUCAAAAUAUUCACAGCAGGUUCGACUGGUCACUGUUAACUAUCAAGUGGUCUGA
RNAcentral lists this ribosomal RNA (1119 nucleotides) under Triticum aestivum (bread wheat). RNAcentral's name for it is "partial small subunit ribosomal RNA". Lineage: Eukaryota; Viridiplantae; Streptophyta; Magnoliopsida; Poales; Poaceae. The record is from RNAcentral.